UAAUAAAAGUGAAAUAAAUUAUGGCACUUUUAAAACAAUCCAUAUCCACCUUGUGUGCAAUGUUUUUUUUAUAUUUUUAUAUAUCAACUCUUUUAAAACAUAUAAAUUUAUCUGAAAUUAUUUUAUGAAUUUUUUUUUUUACUUAAUUCAAAAAUA
This 156-nucleotide unclassified non-coding RNA is filed under the name uncultured Mortierellales. RNAcentral describes it as "sequence contains ITS1". Lineage: Eukaryota; Fungi; Mortierellomycota; Mortierellomycetes; Mortierellales. The record is from RNAcentral.